This 744-nucleotide ribosomal RNA is filed under the name uncultured bacterium. RNAcentral describes it as "bacterial SSU rRNA". It matches the Rfam family "Bacterial small subunit ribosomal RNA", at positions 28 to 784 of the family's 1533-position model. The record is from RNAcentral.
GAUGAACGCUGGCGGCGUGCUUAACACAUGCAAGUCGAACGGAACUUAAAUGAAACCUAGUGAUUUUAAGUUUAGUGGCGGACGGGUGAGUAACGCGUGGGUAACCUGCCUUAUACCGGGGGACAACAGUUAGAAAUGACUGCUAAUACCGCAUAAGCGCACGGAGUCGCAUGACUUUGUGUGAAAAACUCCGGUGGUAUAAGAUGGACCCGCGUCUGAUUAGCCAGUUGGUGAGGUAACGGCCCACCAAAGCAACGAUCAGUAGCCGGCCUGAGAGGGUGAACGGCCACAUUGGGACUGAGACACGGCCCAAACUCCUACGGGAGGCAGCAGUGGGGAAUAUUGGACAAUGGGGGAAACCCUGAUCCAGCGACGCCGCGUGAGUGAAGAAGUAUUUCGGUAUUAAAGCUCUAUCAGCAAGGAAGAUAAUGACGGUACUUGACUAAGAAGCCCCGGCUAACUACGUGCCAGCAGCCGCGGUAAUACGUAGGGGGCAAGCGUUAUCCGGAUUUACUGGGUGUAAAGGGAGCGUAGACGGUUUGGCAAGUCUGAUGUGAAAGCCCGGGGCUCAACCGCGGGACUGCAUUGGAAACUGUCAGACUUGAGUGCAGGAGAGGUAAGUGGAAUUCCUAGUGUAGCGGUGAAAUGCGUAGAUAUUAGGAGGAACACCGGUGGCGAAGGCGGCUUACUGGACUGUAACUGACGUUGAGGCUCGAAAGCGUGGGGAGCAAACAGGAUUAGAUA